GUGGGGAAUCUUGCGCAAUGGGCGAAAGCCUGAUCCAGCCAUGCCGCGUGAGUGAUGAAGGCCUUCGGGUUGUAAAGCUCUUUAGCCGAUGAUUAUAAUGACUGUAGUCGGAAAAUAAGCCCCGGCUAACUUCGUGCCAGCAGCCGCGGUAAUACGAAGGGGGCGAGCGUUAUUCGGAAUCACUGGGCGUAAAGCGUGCGUAGGCGGCUUUGCAAGUUGGGAGUGAAAGCCCAGGGCUCAACCCUGGAAUUGCUCUCAAAACUGCAAGGCUCGAAUUCGGGAGAGGAUAGCGGAAUUGUCAGUGUAGCAGUGAAAUGCGUAGAUAUUGACAGGAACACCAGUGGCGUAAGCGGCUAUCUGGACCGAUAUUGACGCUGAGGCACGAAAGCGUGGGGAUCAAACAGGAUUAGAAACCCCGGUAGUCC
RNAcentral lists this ribosomal RNA (425 nucleotides) under uncultured bacterium. RNAcentral's name for it is "partial 16S ribosomal RNA". It matches the Rfam family "Bacterial small subunit ribosomal RNA", at positions 354 to 796 of the family's 1533-position model. The record is from RNAcentral.